Molecule: unclassified non-coding RNA, 457 nt
Filed under: Hevea brasiliensis (rubber tree)
Lineage: Eukaryota; Viridiplantae; Streptophyta; Magnoliopsida; Malpighiales; Euphorbiaceae
Source: RNAcentral
GGCAGCGGCGGGGUCUCUCUCCGGCGCGGCGGUCGGCGCCGGCGGCGUCGCCGGCCUCCUCCGCAUGAGGCGCUCGACAUUCGCCGUCCUCUCAGUCCCCCGCCCUGGCGGAUCCAUCGCCGACGGCGGCCACCUCAUCUGGGGCCGCCAGCUACGCCCCGCGCUCCUCCUCGAGAGAUCGCCGGUGAAGACCCGGCCGGAGAUUCUCCGGCCGUUGUUUGCCGCCGCGUCGUCUCCGGCUGAAGGGAGCGAUUCCGUCGGGGACGGGACGGUGGCGCCAUUGAGUUUUGCGGCGAAGUACCCGGCUCUGAUCACCGGAUUCUUCUUCUUUAUGUGGUACUUCCUGAACGUGAUUUUCAACAUAAUAAACAAGAAGAUAUACAAUUAUUUUCCUUAUCCCUACUUCGUGUCUGUCGUUCACCUCGGCGUGGGUGUUGUGUAUUGUUUAGCAUCCUGG